Molecule: ribosomal RNA, 428 nt
Filed under: Acidobacteriota bacterium
Lineage: Bacteria; Pseudomonadati; Acidobacteriota
Description: Acidobacteria bacterium partial 16S ribosomal RNA
Rfam family: Bacterial small subunit ribosomal RNA
Source: RNAcentral
UGGGGAAUUUUGGACAAUGGGGGAAACCCUGAUCCAGCCAUCCCGCGUGUGCGAUGAAGGCCUUCGGGUUGUAAAGCACUUUUGGCAGGAAAGAAACGUCAUGGGUUAAUACCCCGUGAAACUGACGGUACCUGCAGAAUAAGCACCGGCUAACUACGUGCCAGCAGCCGCGGUAAUACGUAGGGUGCAAGCGUUAAUCGAAUUACUGGGCGUAAAGCGUGCGCAGGCGGUUCGGAAAGAAAGAUGUGAAAUCCCAGAGCUCAACUUUGGAACUGCAUUUUUAACUACCGGGCUAGAGUGUGUCAGAGGGAGGUGGAAUUCCGCGUGUAGCAGUGAAAUGCGUAGAUAUGCGGAGGAACACCGAUGGCGAAGGCAGCCUCCUGGUAUAACACUGACGCUCAUGCACGAAAGCGUGGGGAGCAAACAGG